GACGUAGGUGGCGAACGUUAUCCGGAAUUACUGGGCGUAAAGCGUGCGUAGACGGUUAUUUAAGUCGGGUGUGAAAGCCCCGGGCUCAACCUGGGAAUUGCAUUCGAGACUGAAUAGCUAGGGUACGGUAGAGGGAAGUGGAAUUUCCGGUGUAGCGGUGAAAUGCGUAGAUAUCGGAAGGAACAUCAGUGGCGAAAGCGACUUCCUGGACCAGUACCGACGUCAGGCACGAAAGCGUGGGGAGCAAACAGG
RNAcentral lists this ribosomal RNA (252 nucleotides) under uncultured bacterium. Its description in RNAcentral is "partial 16S ribosomal RNA". It matches the Rfam family "Bacterial small subunit ribosomal RNA", at positions 524 to 776 of the family's 1533-position model. The record is from RNAcentral.